RNAcentral lists this ribosomal RNA (336 nucleotides) under Triticum aestivum (bread wheat). RNAcentral's name for it is "partial small subunit ribosomal RNA". Lineage: Eukaryota; Viridiplantae; Streptophyta; Magnoliopsida; Poales; Poaceae. The record is from RNAcentral.
AUGAACCCUACCUCGGCUCCGGGUCUGGAUGGCCUCCUGGUUAAAUUCUUCCAGACCUUCUGGAAUGUGAGUAAACCUGAGAUCAUGGCCAUCUUCGAUGAGUUCUAUGUUGGGUCCAUCGACCUCGAGCGCCUCAACUAUGGGAUCAUUUCGCUCAUCCCCAAGGUGCCUGGGGCUUCCGACAUCCGCCAGUUUCGUCCGAUCACGGUCAUCAAUGUGAGUUUCCGAAUUCUGGCGAAAGGGUACGCCAAUAGGGUGACCCUUCUUGCCGACCACAUUACCCACCCCAACCAGUCCGCCUUCAUUCAAGGGCGGUAUAUCCUGGAUGGGUGCUAG